GAUGAACGCUGGCGGCGUGCCUAAUACAUGCAAGUCGAGCGAACAGAUGAGGAGCUUGCUCCUCUGACGUUAGCGGCGGACGGGUGAGUAACACGUGGAUAACCUACCUAUAAGACUGGGAUAACUUCGGGAAACCGGAGCUAAUACCGGAUAAUAUAUUGAACCGCAUGGUUCAAUAGUGAAAGACGGUUUUGCUGUCACUUAUAGAUGGAUCCGCGCCGCAUUAGCUAGUUGGUAAGGUAACGGCUUACCAAGGCGACGAUGCGUAGCCGACCUGAGAGGGUGAUCGGCCACACUGGAACUGAGACACGGUCCAGUCUCCUACGGGAGGCAGCAGUAGGGAAUCUUCCGCAAUGGGCGAAAGCUUGACGGAGCAACGCCGCGUGAGUGAUGAAGGUCUUCGGAUCGUAAAACUCUGUUAUUAGGGAAGAACAAAUGUGUAAGUAACUAUGCACGUCUUGACGGUACCUAAUCAGAAAGCCACGGCUAACUACGUG
RNAcentral lists this ribosomal RNA (497 nucleotides) under uncultured bacterium. Its description in RNAcentral is "partial 16S ribosomal RNA". It matches the Rfam family "Bacterial small subunit ribosomal RNA", at positions 28 to 507 of the family's 1533-position model. The record is from RNAcentral.